RNAcentral lists this ribosomal RNA (434 nucleotides) under uncultured Blautia sp. RNAcentral describes it as "bacterial SSU rRNA". It matches the Rfam family "Bacterial small subunit ribosomal RNA", at positions 341 to 792 of the family's 1533-position model. The record is from RNAcentral. Lineage: Bacteria; Bacillati; Bacillota; Clostridia; Lachnospirales; Lachnospiraceae.
ACGGGAGGCAGCAGUGGGGAAUAUUGCACAAUGGGGGAAACCCUGAUGCAGCGACGCCGCGUGAAGGAAGAAGUAUCUCGGUAUGUAAACUUCUAUCAGCAGGGAAGAUAGUGACGGUACCUGACUAAGAAGCCCCGGCUAACUACGUGCCAGCAGCCGCGGUAAUACGUAGGGGGCAAGCGUUAUCCGGAUUUACUGGGUGUAAAGGGAGCGUAGACGGCAUGGCAAGUCUGAUGUGAAAACCCGGGGCUCAACCCCGGGACUGCAUUGGAAACUGUCAGGCUAGAGUGCAGGAGAGGUAAGUGGAAUUCCUAGUGUAGCGGUGAAAUGCGUAGAUAUUAGGAGGAACACCAGUGGCGAAGGCGGCUUACUGGACGGUAACUGACGUUGAGGCUCGAAAGCGUGGGGAGCAAACAGGAUUAGAUACCCUGGUA